RNAcentral lists this unclassified non-coding RNA (405 nucleotides) under Hevea brasiliensis (rubber tree). The record is from RNAcentral. Lineage: Eukaryota; Viridiplantae; Streptophyta; Magnoliopsida; Malpighiales; Euphorbiaceae.
UGGGUGGCUUGUCAUCUGCACAUCUGCCAUUAAUAAAAUGCAAACAAAUAUUCUUUAUACAAGUACAGAAUCUCUAUGGAACAGAAAUAGGUUAAUUACUAGAAUUCAGCAUAUUUUAAGCAUUAAUCCUGUAAAGGGAGUCUUAAAAGGUCCAUCAUCGAGUAAUUGGACUGUAAUGUAAAAUAAAAAAAAAGUAAUUUUACGAUCUUGAAAUUGCACAACAUGAUAUUCAACCAAGCUUCAGAAGCUUAACCAUUGUCAACAGAAAAUCUGACAAGGAAAACAACUUAUGUAGCUCAACUAUGACUCAGCUCAUAGCAUGUGAAGAUUUCUACGGAAAAUAAUAUCCGAUGCAGUUCAUAAGGAAAAUAAGUUUAGCCUAGGGCCUAGGCUAGGCUAAACAUG